This is a long non-coding RNA of Meriones unguiculatus (Mongolian gerbil), 594 nucleotides long. RefSeq lists it as uncharacterized. Lineage: Eukaryota; Metazoa; Chordata; Mammalia; Rodentia; Muridae. The record is from RefSeq and is a predicted model, not a curated record. The transcript has 3 exons.
GAGUGAUCCUAAAAAGAAGACAGCAAGAAUGCAGGGGGAGCUCUGAAACAAGGCCUGUGAAGUCCUGCAGAAAUUGGGGACAACGUGCAGUUCUGCCAUCCUUCAGAUUUCUGCUUCAAGUUCCUGCCUUGAGUCCACUUCCUGACUUUCCUCAGCAAUGGACUGUGACCUGCAAGAGGAAAUACACCUUUUGCUCUCCAAGUUGCUUUGGUUCAUGGUGUUUAUGGCAGCAACAGAAAGCAAACUAGGACCUAUGGGCUUUGUGAUGGUACAUCAUAACUGACCUCCCUAGAGCCAGAUCUGUCAUCACAUUCCUGGAAUUCUGACUCCAGAGAGGCAGAGACUAUGAGUCCAUGCCCAAAGUUAAAGGCAGCACGGCAGAGGGAGGGUCUGUCUCACACAACAGACAAACACGUGUCUCCAGAAGAAAGGUAUAUCUUGUGCUGUUCUUACUUAUGUCUAUGCAUUCAUGCUUUGUCUACAAGAACUUGAAUGCAGAUUUGUGGAUUAGUUGUCUUGGUGCAGAUAAUCAGUGGAUUUCACUUGUGUUCUAAGACAGAACUGUGGUAUUGCCUGUAUUCUCCAACCUAAUUU